RNAcentral lists this small RNA (878 nucleotides) under Histoplasma capsulatum var. duboisii H88. RNAcentral's name for it is "Histoplasma capsulatum H88 hypothetical RNA". Lineage: Eukaryota; Fungi; Ascomycota; Eurotiomycetes; Onygenales; Ajellomycetaceae. The record is from RNAcentral.
UCCAAGGUUGCCAAGCAGUGACUCUCUUCACGUGACAUUCCUAGAUCUUCCCGAGGUCUUCAACCCCUUCCUUGCCUUGCCCACCGAAUAAAUCUGGGACAAAUUUUGCUAGCAAUGUUGUUUACAAUAUUCAUCCUGGUGGUGAAGGCGUGGAAGGGCUGGGGUUGAAGGUCCAUACCUGAUCCAGUCAACCUUGACUUUUCUGGUCCGGCGGGGUCCUGCUCGCCCAAGCUUGAGGUCUGGAUACUAUAUCGAGCAUCCAUUAGGACCAUUAGGACGUUCGAGAGGAGACAACCAGAAAAGGCUCGUAAUGCACACAAUCCCCCACUCUUUCUCCAUUGAAUCUCAAAUCUAUUACCGCUUUUGUGGUGAUAUGGCAGCUGCUCUACGUCCAGAGUUGUCGACCAUAUCUGCUGAGUGGGAAUGUAGAUGUUGGUGGGAUGAAAAGUGUUUUGGGAGAAUUAGAGAAGUCCGUGGGCUGUGGUAAGAAAAAUUAUUCUUUGCAAUGAGCUAGGGUCAAACCACAUGAAGAAGGGGAAUCAUAUUUAAAAGGCUUUAUGAAGUGGAAAAUCCUGUAAGAUGAACAAAUUCCAGGGUGGUGUGGAUUGGACUGCACUGCAACUACUGAAAAUCCAUUGGCUGUGUUGUGAUUCCCCUCAAGGCAAACUUUCACUUUCUUCUCUACUAACUAUGUUCAGAUCUCACUAAAGGCUAUCUGAAUAUACCCAGGACUUCCCACAAGCCAACACAGGUCACUUGAGAAAGAAGUCGGAUCAGAAGAGCAAAACUAAACUAUGACACUGAAAAUACAAAGACAUCUGUCCUUGCCACAACUUGCCAUCUGUGAAAGUAUAGGAAACACCACUUGUAUCUUUCAA